This 163-nucleotide ribosomal RNA is filed under the name Tragopogon dubius. RNAcentral describes it as "5.8S ribosomal RNA". It matches the Rfam family "5.8S ribosomal RNA". From Rfam's summary of the family: 5.8S ribosomal RNA (5.8S rRNA) is a component of the large subunit of the eukaryotic ribosome. It is transcribed by RNA polymerase I as part of the 45S precursor that also contains 18S and 28S rRNA. Functionally, it is thought that 5.8S rRNA may be involved in ribosome translocation. Lineage: Eukaryota; Viridiplantae; Streptophyta; Magnoliopsida; Asterales; Asteraceae. The record is from RNAcentral.
AAAACGACUCUCGGCAACGGAUAUCUCGGCUCACGCAUCGAUGAAGAACGUAGCAAAAUGCGAUACUUGGUGUGAAUUGCAGAAUCCCGUGAACCAUCGAGUUUUUGAACGCAAGUUGCGCCCAAAGCCAUCCGGUUGAGGGCACGUCUGCCUGGGCGUCACC